RNAcentral lists this transfer RNA (79 nucleotides) under Bacillus subtilis. RNAcentral describes it as "tRNA-Ala". It matches the Rfam family "tRNA". From Rfam's summary of the family: Transfer RNA (tRNA) molecules are approximately 80 nucleotides in length. Their secondary structure includes four short double-helical elements and three loops (D, anti-codon, and T loops). Lineage: Bacteria; Bacillati; Bacillota; Bacilli; Caryophanales; Bacillaceae. The record is from RNAcentral.
GGGUAGGCUUAGCUCAGCUGGGAGAGCGCCUGCUUUGCACGCAGGAGGUCAGCGGUUCGAUCCCGCUAGGCUCCCACCA